RNAcentral lists this ribosomal RNA (586 nucleotides) under Alphaproteobacteria bacterium GUDS1307. RNAcentral describes it as "bacterial SSU rRNA". It matches the Rfam family "Bacterial small subunit ribosomal RNA", at positions 67 to 699 of the family's 1533-position model. Lineage: Bacteria; Pseudomonadati; Pseudomonadota; Alphaproteobacteria. The record is from RNAcentral.
CGAACUCUUCGGAGUUAGUGGCAGACGGGUGAGUAACGCGUGGGAACCUACCUUUAGGUACGGAACAACAGUUGGAAACGACUGCUAAUACCGUAUGUGCCCUAUGGGGGAAAGAUUUAUCGCCUAAGGAUGGGCCCGCGUUGGAUUAGCUAGUUGGUGGGGUAAUGGCCUACCAAGGCGACGAUCCAUAGCUGGUCUGAGAGGAUGAUCAGCCACACUGGGACUGAGACACGGCCCAGACUCCUACGGGAGGCAGCAGUGGGGAAUAUUGGACAAUGGGGGCAACCCUGAUCCAGCCAUGCCGCGUGAGUGAUGAAGGCCCUAGGGUUGUAAAGCUCUUUCAGCGAGGAGGAUAAUGACGUUACUCGCAGAAGAAGCCCCGGCUAACUUCGUGCCAGCAGCCGCGGUAAUACGAAGGGGGCUAGCGUUGUUCGGAAUCACUGGGCGUAAAGCGCACGUAGGCGGAUUGAUAAGUUAGGGGUGAAAUCCCGGGGCUCAACCUCGGAACUGCCUUUGAUACUGUCAGUCUUGAGUCCGAGAGAGGUGAGUGGAACUCCGAGUGUAGAGGUGAAAUUCGUAGAUAUUC